GGCGGCGUGCUUAACACAUGCAAGUCGAACGGAAAGGCCCUGCUUUUGUGGGGUGCUCGAGUGGCGAACGGGUGAGUAACACGUGAGUAACCUGCCCUUGACUUUGGGAUAACUUCAGGAAACUGGGGCUAAUACCGGAUAGGAGCUCCUGCUGCAUGGUGGGGGUUGGAAAGUUUCGGCGGUUGGGGAUGGACUCGCGGCUUAUCAGCUUGUUGGUGGGGUAGUGGCUUACCAAGGCUUUGACGGGUAGCCGGCCUGAGAGGGUGGCCGGCCACAUUGGGACUGAGAUACGGCCCAGACUCCUACGGGAGGCAGCAGUGGGGAAUAUUGCACAAUGGGCGGAAGCCUGAUGCAGCAACGCCGCGUGCGGGAUGACGGCCUUCGGGUUGUAAACCGCUUUCGCCUGUGACGAANCGUGAGUGACGGUAAUGGGUAAAGAAGCACCGGCUAACUACGUGCCAGCAGCCGCGGUGAUACGUANGGUGCGAGCGU
RNAcentral lists this ribosomal RNA (492 nucleotides) under uncultured bacterium. RNAcentral's name for it is "bacterial SSU rRNA". It matches the Rfam family "Bacterial small subunit ribosomal RNA", at positions 38 to 541 of the family's 1533-position model. The record is from RNAcentral.